Molecule: long non-coding RNA, 1153 nt
Organism: Papaver somniferum (opium poppy)
Lineage: Eukaryota; Viridiplantae; Streptophyta; Magnoliopsida; Ranunculales; Papaveraceae
Exons: 2
Source: RefSeq, a predicted model, not a curated record
CUGGUCCUCUACAUCCGAUAAAAGCAAGGUCUCUGUUAAUAAUAAAAAUCAAAGCUGCUUGUUCUAGUUCUAGGUAUCUCGAUCGGUGUGAGUAUGUCAACACAAAACUAUUUAUUUGAAAUACAGAAUCAUUGCUUCUGAGUGAUGGGUUCUUACCUGAUUUUUUUUUCCAUCAGUGUUUGAUUAUUAGUUAAAAACUAUGGAAAUCAUUAGACUUCCCCAAGUCUGAGGUGUAGAAGAAGAAAACAUUUUUUCCAUGGCGAUUUCAGUAUCACAACAUCUCUGGUGAAAGCAAUCAACUUGGAGGAAUUGAAUCUGAAGCCUCCUGAAUCAAACCUCAAUCAAUGAGGAAGAGAGGCAUGUUGUUUGGUAAGGAAAGUAAGGAAGAGUCGCAGUUGGGAAUUUUUGACCGGGUAAUCAGAUAUCUAUCCUGGGAGAUGCUUAAAGUGAAGCAACAACGGGAACAUUGGGAAAGCGCUAGUUUGUUGGAAAGGUCAUACCAUCGGCCUCUCCAACAGACACUCGACGUACGUUUUCACCGCCACUAACUAUACUGCUGACACCAACAACAACUAGAUGAACAAGACAACAUCCUUGCCUCGCAAAUGGCUAAACCGUGUGGUCCAAGCGCCUUUAUCAUCAAUCAUCUUGCAAAACCGGAGUCUACUGCUCGACUGUUGAUGUAUUCAGGUUAUCAGUAUGGUAAGCGGAUGAGCACAAGGUAGUGGCGCGCUAGCAGUCUAGCCUAACUAUGAUGUCAUUAGGAAGCACGCUGACUAUUGUCACAACUAGGCACCGAUUGCUCAUUAACAACAUUCAAGAUAAACCAGCCCCUUGAAGUCUCAGCCGAUGGGCGGUUACCUAUGUCCAGAGAAACGGGCAUCUCCCUGGGAUGUAAGCAUUUUCUAAUCCCUCAAGUUUGAUUCAUUUAAAGAGUACCACUUAGAUAUACCUAGCCUUGCAUAUAUAUAUAUAUAUGCAAGUUCCUGGCCCUUAUAGCGAAUCUGCAACAUUUUCUCAUGCUUGAAUCAUUUACUUGCACAUGUUAGUGGGUCGUCACUUGGUUUAUUAAUGUGCAGUCUUGCCAAAGUGUUCCAACACAUGAUCUUACAUUGAUUAAGAAUUGAUAAUUUUAGUUAAUACUUCCACCUCU